UGUGCACUUGAUGUCGGAGCUAAUACUUUGAGAAAAUUAGAGUGUUCCACGCAGGCGCGUGCCUUGAAUACUGCAGCAUGGGAUAUUGGAAGGCCGAUUGAGCUUUCUUGUUGGUUCUCGGUUUGAUCGGAAUGAUUAAUAGGGAUAGUUGGGGUCACUCGUAUUUCAUUGUCAGAGG
This 178-nucleotide ribosomal RNA is filed under the name Madagascaria erythrocladioides. Its description in RNAcentral is "partial Eukaryotic small subunit ribosomal RNA". It matches the Rfam family "Eukaryotic small subunit ribosomal RNA", at positions 739 to 911 of the family's 1831-position model. Lineage: Eukaryota; Rhodophyta; Compsopogonophyceae; Erythropeltidales; Erythrotrichiaceae. The record is from RNAcentral.